GAAUAUUGGACAAUGGGGGCAACCCUGAUCCAGCCAUGCCGCGUGUGUGAAGAAGGCCUCUUUGUUGUAAAGCACUUUAAGCAGUGAAGAAGACUCCCUGGUUAAUACCCAUGGACGAUGACAUUAGCUGCUGAACAAGCACCGGCUAUCCCUGUGCCUGCAGCCGCGGUAUUACAGAGGGUGGAAGCGUUAAUCGGAAUUACUGGGCGUAAAGCGAGCGUAGGGGGCUUGAUAAGUCAAAUGUGAAAUCCCCGGGCUUAACCUGGGAAAUGCAUCUGAUACUGUUAGGCUAGAAUAGGUGAGAGGAAGGUAGAAUUCCAGGUGUAGCGGUGAAAUGCGUAGAGAUCUGGAGGAAAACCGAUGGCGAAGGCAGCCUUCUGGCAUCAUAUUGACACUGAGGUUCGAAAGCGUGGGUAGCAAAC
Molecule: ribosomal RNA, 422 nt
Filed under: uncultured bacterium
Lineage: Bacteria
Description: partial 16S ribosomal RNA
Rfam family: Bacterial small subunit ribosomal RNA
Source: RNAcentral